UGGGGAAUUUUGCACAAUGGGCGGAAGCCUGAUGCAGCGACGCCGUGUGGGGGAUGAAGGCCUUCGGGUUGUAAACUCCUUUCGUCAGGGACGAAGUUUGUUUGACGGUACCUGGAUAAGAAGCACCGGCUAACUACGUGCCAGCAGCCGCGGUAAUACGUAGGGUGCGAGCGUUGUCCGGAUUUACUGGGCGUAAAGGGCUCGUAGGUGGUGUGUUGCGUCGUCUGUGUAAUCCAGGGGCUUAACUUUUGGUUGGCAGGCGAUACGGGCAUUGCUUGAGUGCUGUAGGGGAGACUGGAAUUCCUGGUGUAGCGGAGAAAUGCGCAGAUAUCAGGAGGAACACCGAUGGCGAAGGCAGGUCUCUGGGCAGUUACUGACGCUGAGGAGCGAGAGCAUGGGUAGCGAACAGG
This 410-nucleotide ribosomal RNA is filed under the name bacterium. Its description in RNAcentral is "partial 16S ribosomal RNA". It matches the Rfam family "Bacterial small subunit ribosomal RNA", at positions 355 to 776 of the family's 1533-position model. The record is from RNAcentral.